This 537-nucleotide ribosomal RNA is filed under the name uncultured bacterium. Its description in RNAcentral is "bacterial SSU rRNA". It matches the Rfam family "Bacterial small subunit ribosomal RNA", at positions 777 to 1312 of the family's 1533-position model. The record is from RNAcentral.
AAUAGAUACCCUGGUAGUCCACGCCGUAAACGAUGAGUGCUAAGUGUUAGAGGGUUUCCGCCCUUUAGUGCUGCAGCAAACGCAUUAAGCACUCCGCCUGGGGAGUACGGUCGCAAGACUGAAACUCAAAGGAAUUGACGGGGGCCCGCACAAGCGGUGGAGCAUGUGGUUUAAUUCGAAGCAACGCGAAGAACCUUACCAGGUCUUGACAUCCCGUGACAACUCUAGAGAUAGGGCUUUCCCCUUCGGGGGACACGGUGACAGGUGGUGCAUGGUUGUCGUCAGCUCGUGUCGUGAGAUGUUGGGUUAAGUCCCGCAACGAGCGCAACCCUUGAUCUUAGUUGCCAGCAUUCAGUUGGGCACUCUAAGGUGACUGCCGGUGACAAACCGGAGGAAGGUGGGGAUGACGUCAAAUCAUCAUGCCCCUUAUGACCUGGGCUACACACGUGCUACAAUGGAUGGUACAAAGGGCAGCGAAACCGCGAGGUUAAGCCAAUCCCAUAAAACCAUUCUCAGUUCGGAUUGCAGGCUGCAACG